Venturia effusa is the source of this 118-nucleotide non-coding RNA. NCBI's taxonomy places the organism in Eukaryota, Fungi, Ascomycota, Dothideomycetes, Venturiales, Venturiaceae. The record is from the annotation of a GenBank genome assembly.
UCUUCCAUAGUCUAGUGGUCAUGAUAUCCGCUUGUCAAUCCGGUUCAACUACCUCGUCUAAGGGUAGCGGACCAAUGACAGGUCGCGGAUGGCCCGGGUUCGAUUCCCGGUGGGAGAG